ACACUUAUCAAAUACAACUGGAUCUGCUAGAGAAGCAGCCUCACCGUCAUUCCACAGCUUCCAUGCCUGUAAAAACCCAAGUUUUCAAGGACCAAACCCGCCUUGUCCAAGCUUGUUUCUUAAAGAGAAGUUAUCGGUGGAUGUUGCUAACACUUGAAAAUCAAAUAGUGGAAGCUCCUUGAGCUUGAUUUGGCUAGAAGCAGACUCAUUGUCACUUGUAAGUGCUUCCAUUCUCUUAAACAAUAUCUCCGCACUUCUAUCUUUCACUGGCUCUGCUAAGGCAAAUGAUCAAUGAAACAAACAAGUUGUGAUAAAAGAAACAAUCUGAAGCCAACAUGUAUAACUGUAUACAAAAAUCUAACCUGGACGCUUUUUGAA
Molecule: non-coding RNA, 378 nt
Organism: Camelina sativa (false flax)
Lineage: Eukaryota; Viridiplantae; Streptophyta; Magnoliopsida; Brassicales; Brassicaceae
Source: RefSeq, a predicted model, not a curated record